UGGGAAGAGGGCACGGUCGCGGGCGGCCAUGCCUGAGGAAAGUCCGGGCACCACAGGGCAGGAUGCCAGCUAACGGCUGGGCGGGGUAACCCGACGGAAAGUGCAACAGAAAGCAAACCGCCAGGUGCGCCCCGUGGCGCAUCCGGUAAGGGUGAAACGGUGCGGUAAGAGCGCACCAGUCCCUCUGGCAACAGGGGGAGCUCGGCAAACCCCAUCCGGUGCAAGUCCCGUAAGCCCAGCAGGGAGGGUUGGCCCGACCCGGUAGCACCGCUGGUAGGGACGCUAGAGGUGGUUGGCGACAGCCAUCCCAGAGAGAUGACCGUGGAAACAGAACCCGGCUUACGCCUCUUCCCACAGC
RNAcentral lists this RNase P RNA (358 nucleotides) under Deinococcota bacterium. RNAcentral describes it as "Deinococcus-Thermus bacterium RNase P RNA component class A". It matches the Rfam family "Bacterial RNase P class A". Rfam says of the family: Ribonuclease P (RNase P) is a ubiquitous endoribonuclease, found in archaea, bacteria and eukarya as well as chloroplasts and mitochondria. Its best characterised activity is the generation of mature 5'-ends of tRNAs by cleaving the 5'-leader elements of precursor-tRNAs. The record is from RNAcentral. Lineage: Bacteria; Thermotogati; Deinococcota.